This 2927-nucleotide ribosomal RNA is filed under the name Citrobacter freundii. RNAcentral describes it as "23S ribosomal RNA". It matches the Rfam family "Bacterial large subunit ribosomal RNA". Lineage: Bacteria; Pseudomonadati; Pseudomonadota; Gammaproteobacteria; Enterobacterales; Enterobacteriaceae. The record is from RNAcentral.
GGGUUGUGAGGUUAAGCGACUAAGCGUACACGGUGGAUGCCCUGGCAGUCAGAGGCGAUGAAGGACGUGCUAAUCUGCGAUAAGCGUCGGUAAGGUGAUAUGAACCGUUAUAGCCGGCGAUUUCCGAAUGGGGAAACCCAGUGUGAUUCGUCACACUAUCAUUACGUGAAUACAUAGCGUAAUGAAGCGAACCGGGGGAACUGAAACAUCUAAGUACCCCGAGGAAAAGAAAUCAACCGAGAUUCCCCCAGUAGCGGCGAGCGAACGGGGAGCAGCCCAGAGUCUGAAUCAGCUUGUGUGUUAGUGGAACGGUCUGGAAAGUCCGACGGUACAGGGUGAUAGUCCCGUACACCAAAAUGCACAGGUUGUGAACUCGAAGAGUAGGGCGGGACACGUGGUAUCCUGUCUGAAUAUGGGGGGACCAUCCUCCAAGGCUAAAUACUCCUGACUGACCGAUAGUGAACCAGUACCGUGAGGGAAAGGCGAAAAGAACCCCGGCGAGGGGAGUGAAAAAGAACCUGAAACCGUGUACGUACAAGCAGUGGGAGCCUCUUUAUGGGGUGACUGCGUACCUUUUGUAUAAUGGGUCAGCGACUUAUAUUCUGUAGCAAGGUUAACCGUAUAGGGGAGCCGAAGGGAAACCGAGUCUUAACUGGGCGUUAAGUUGCAGGGUAUAGACCCGAAACCCGGUGAUCUAGCCAUGGGCAGGUUGAAGGUUGGGUAACACUAACUGGAGGACCGAACCGACUAAUGUUGAAAAAUUAGCGGAUGACUUGUGGCUGGGGGUGAAAGGCCAAUCAAACCGGGAGAUAGCUGGUUCUCCCCGAAAGCUAUUUAGGUAGCGCCUCGUGAAUUCAUCUUCGGGGUAGAGCACUGUUUCGGCUAGGGGGUCAUCCCGACUUACCAACCCGAUGCAAACUGCGAAUACCGAAGAAUGUUAUCACGGGAGACACACGGCGGGUGCUAACGUCCGUCGUGAAGAGGGAAACAACCCAGACCGCCAGCUAAGGUCCCAAAGUCAUGGUUAAGUGGGAAACGAUGUGGGAAGGCACAGACAGCCAGGAUGUUGGCUUAGAAGCAGCCAUCAUUUAAAGAAAGCGUAAUAGCUCACUGGUCGAGUCGGCCUGCGCGGAAGAUGUAACGGGGCUAAACCAUGCACCGAAGCUGCGGCAGCGACACUAUGUGUUGUUGGGUAGGGGAGCGUUCUGUAAGCCGUUGAAGGUGUGCUGUGAGGCAUGCUGGAGGUAUCAGAAGUGCGAAUGCUGACAUAAGUAACGAUAAUGCGGGUGAAAAACCCGCACGCCGGAAGACCAAGGGUUCCUGUCCAACGUUAAUCGGGGCAGGGUGAGUCGACCCCUAAGGCGAGGCCGAAAGGCGUAGUCGAUGGGAAACAGGUUAAUAUUCCUGUACUUAGUGUUACUGCGAAGGGGGGACGGAGAAGGCUAUGUUAGCCGGGCGACGGUUGUCCCGGUUUAAGCAUGUAGGCGGAGGUUCCAGGUAAAUCCGGUACCUUUUUAACGCUGAGGUGUGAUGACGAGGCACUACGGUGCUGAAGUAACAAAUGCCCUGCUUCCAGGAAAAGCCUCUAAGCAUCAGGUAACACGAAAUCGUACCCCAAACCGACACAGGUGGUCAGGUAGAGAAUACCAAGGCGCUUGAGAGAACUCGGGUGAAGGAACUAGGCAAAAUGGUGCCGUAACUUCGGGAGAAGGCACGCUGAUAUGUAGGUGAAGCGGUUUACCCGUGGAGCUGAAAUCAGUCGAAGAUACCAGCUGGCUGCAACUGUUUAUUAAAAACACAGCACUGUGCAAACACGAAAGUGGACGUAUACGGUGUGACGCCUGCCCGGUGCCGGAAGGUUAAUUGAUGGGGUUAUCCGUAAGGAGAAGCUCUUGAUCGAAGCCCCGGUAAACGGCGGCCGUAACUAUAACGGUCCUAAGGUAGCGAAAUUCCUUGUCGGGUAAGUUCCGACCUGCACGAAUGGCGUAAUGAUGGCCAGGCUGUCUCCACCCGAGACUCAGUGAAAUUGAACUCGCUGUGAAGAUGCAGUGUACCCGCGGCAAGACGGAAAGACCCCGUGAACCUUUACUAUAGCUUGACACUGAACACUGGUCCUUGAUGUGUAGGAUAGGUGGGAGGCUUUGAAGUGUGGACGCCAGUCUGCAUGGAGCCAUCCUUGAAAUACCACCCUUUAAUGGCUGGUGUUCUAACGUGGACCCGUUACCCGGGUUGCGGACAGUGUCUGGUGGGUAGUUUGACUGGGGCGGUCUCCUCCUAAAGAGUAACGGAGGAGCACGAAGGUUAGCUAAUCCUGGUCGGACAUCAGGAGGUUAGUGCAAAGGCAUAAGCUAGCUUGACUGCGAGAGUGACGGCUCGAGCAGGUGCGAAAGCAGGUCUUAGUGAUCCGGUGGUUCUGAAUGGAAGGGCCAUCGCUCAACGGAUAAAAGGUACUCCGGGGAUAACAGGCUGAUACCGCCCAAGAGUUCAUAUCGACGGCGGUGUUUGGCACCUCGAUGUCGGCUCAUCACAUCCUGGGGCUGAAGUAGGUCCCAAGGGUAUGGCUGUUCGCCAUUUAAAGUGGUACGCGAGCUGGGUUUAGAACGUCGUGAGACAGUUCGGUCCCUAUCUGCCGUGGGCGCUGGAGAAUUGAGGGGGGCUGCUCCUAGUACGAGAGGACCGGAGUGGACGCAUCACUGGUGUUCGGGUUGUCAUGCCAAUGGCAUUGCCCGGUAGCUAAAUGCGGAAGAGAUAAGUGCUGAAAGCAUCUAAGCACGAAACUUGCCCCGAGAUGAGUUCUCCCUGAGACUAUAAGUCUCCUGAAGGAACGUUGAAGACGACGACGUUGAUAGGUCGGGUGUGUAAGUGUAGCGAUACAUUGAGCUAACCGAUACUAAUGAACCGUGAGGCUUAACCUUACAACGCCGAAG